This 550-nucleotide ribosomal RNA is filed under the name uncultured bacterium. Its description in RNAcentral is "bacterial SSU rRNA". It matches the Rfam family "Bacterial small subunit ribosomal RNA", at positions 355 to 896 of the family's 1533-position model. The record is from RNAcentral.
UAGGGAAUCUUCCACAAUGGGCGAAAGCCUGAUGGAGCAACGCCGCGUGUGUGAUGAAGGCUUUAGGGUCGUAAAGCACUGUUGUAUGGGAAGAAAUGCUAGAACAGGGAAUGAUUCUAGUUCGACGGUACCAUACCAGAAAGGGACGGCUAAAUACGUGCCAGCAGCCGCGGUAAUACGUAUGUCCCGAGCGUUAUCCGGAUUUAUUGGGCGUAAAGCGAGCGCAGACGGUUGAUUAAGUCUGAUGUGAAAGCCCGGAGCUCAACUCCGGAAUGGCAUUGGAAACUGGUUAACUUGAGUGUUGUAGAGGUAAGUGGAACUCCAUGUGUAGCGGUGGAAUGCGUAGAUAUAUGGAAGAACACCAGUGGCGAAGGCGGCUUACUGGACAACAACUGACGUUGAGGCUCGAAAGUGUGGGUAGCAAACAGGAUUAGAUACCCUGGUAGUCCACACCGUAAACGAUGAAUACUAGGUGUUAGGAGGUUUCCGCCUCUUAGUGCCGAAGCUAACGCAUUAAGUAUUCCGCCUGGGGAGUACGACCGCAAGGUUG